GCGUCUUCGGGGACUGAACACAGCACUCCAAUCCUCCCAGUCAAUGUCCGGGCGCCCCGCCCGCUUUCUCCUCCAGGAAGCCCCCGGGGCCCCCCCGCCGCCUACCUCGGAGAAGCCUCCCGGACCAACCAUCCCCGCCAAUUCAUUUAAGAAGCCCCGCCCCCCAAGGCAACCUUCCAGCCACUGGGCCUUUGACCUGCCCUUCCCACAGCCGGGGCAAAGGAAAAGUGGCCAUUCCUGCCCGGCCCCAUAUUGUGGAUUUAGGCAAAUUCCCAGCAGAGGACUCGGUGGACCCAAGUAUCAGAUAGGUGCCGCUAUUACUCCCUCGGACCGGGAAGGACACAGUUUGUGAGCAGCAGGUCAGCGUUCCACCCUAUGCAGUCCUGCCCGAUUUUCGAGAUCUACAGCCCGACACUCAGCGAUGUGUGCGGGAACCGUGACUGAACCAGGCCUGCGCCAUUAGCCUGCAUCCGGCCUGCCACCCUGGGAGCCCGGAGCACAGAGGAUGUGAACGCGCCCUCCCGCCUGGAUGCCACCAGAGCCACCGUUAGAGAAACUGAAAGCCACCAGUGGGGCGCGGCGGGGCGGGCCCGGGGGCGGGGCGGGCCCGGAGGAAGUGCGGCUAAGGGACGGCAUUCUGGGGCCGGAAGUGGGGCGCACGCUGCUGUCUGGGAGUGAUGGCGGCGGCGCGGGGUGGCAAGCGGCGCCUGGCAGAACUGACAGUGGACGAGUUCCUGGCUUCGGGCUUUGAUUCUGAGUCUGAAUCGGAGUCCGAAGCAGCCCCAGAAGCAGAGACGCGGGCGGUGUUUGGAGCCGACCGGAGACUGGAUGGGCUAGGCGGGAGCCCCUC
Non-coding RNA from Leptonychotes weddellii (Weddell seal), 850 nucleotides. Lineage: Eukaryota; Metazoa; Chordata; Mammalia; Carnivora; Phocidae. The record is from RefSeq and is a predicted model, not a curated record.